This is a non-coding RNA of Collybiopsis luxurians FD-317 M1, 104 nucleotides long. The record is from the annotation of a GenBank genome assembly. NCBI's taxonomy places the organism in Eukaryota, Fungi, Basidiomycota, Agaricomycetes, Agaricales, Omphalotaceae.
UCCUUCUUAGCUCAGUUGGUAGAGCGCGUCACUAGUAUAUGUAAAUUUCUGGUGGUUAAUUGAAUACUAUGACGAGGUCAGUCGUUCGAGUCGGCUAGAAGGAA